GGUGAACGCUAGCUACAGGCUUAACACAUGCAAGUCGAGGGGUCUGCUUCGGCAGACGACCGGCGCACGGGUGAGUAACGCGUAUCCAACCUGCCCUUCUCAUUGGGAUAGCCUUUCGAAAGAGAGAUUAAUACCGAAUAACAUAGUUUGAUUGCCUGAUUAUACUAUGAAAGCUCCGGCGGAGAAGGAUGGGGAUGCGUUCCAUUAGGUAGUAGGCGGGGUAACGGCCCACCUAGCCUACGAUGGAUAGGGGUUCUGAGAGGAAGGUCCCCCACACUGGAACUGAGACACGGUCCAG
RNAcentral lists this ribosomal RNA (298 nucleotides) under uncultured bacterium. RNAcentral describes it as "partial 16S ribosomal RNA". It matches the Rfam family "Bacterial small subunit ribosomal RNA", at positions 28 to 334 of the family's 1533-position model. The record is from RNAcentral.